This 1666-nucleotide ribosomal RNA is filed under the name Salmonella enterica. Its description in RNAcentral is "partial 23S ribosomal RNA". It matches the Rfam family "Bacterial large subunit ribosomal RNA", at positions 1292 to 2925 of the family's 2925-position model. RNAcentral also lists the same sequence under 1 other name. Lineage: Bacteria; Pseudomonadati; Pseudomonadota; Gammaproteobacteria; Enterobacterales; Enterobacteriaceae. The record is from RNAcentral.
GAAUGCUGACAUAAGUAACGAUAAAGCGGGUGAAAAGCCCGCUCGCCGGAAGACCAAGGGUUCCUGUCCAACGUUAAUCGGGGCAGGGUGAGUCGACCCCUAAGGCGAGGCCGAAAGGCGUAGUCGAUGGGAAACGGGUUAAUAUUCCCGUACUUGGUGUUACUGCGAAGGGGGGACGGAGAAGGCUAUGUUGGCCGGGCGACGGUUGUCCCGGUUUAAGCGUGUAGGUGUGUGUUCCAGGUAAAUCCGGUUCACUUUAACACUGAGGCGUGAUGACGAGGCACCACGGUGCUGAAGCAACAAAUGCCCUGCUUCCAGGAAAAGCCUCUAAGCCUCAGGUAACAUCAAAUCGUACCCCAAACCGACACAGGUGGUCAGGUAGAGAAUACCAAGGCGCUUGAGAGAACUCGGGUGAAGGAACUAGGCAAAAUGGUGCCGUAACUUCGGGAGAAGGCACGCUGACACGUAGGUGAAGUGGUUUACCCAUGGAGCUGAAGUCAGUCGAAGAUACCAGCUGGCUGCAACUGUUUAUUAAAAACACAGCACUGUGCAAACACGAAAGUGGACGUAUACGGUGUGACGCCUGCCCGGUGCCGGAAGGUUAAUUGAUGGGGUCAGCGCAAGCGAAGCUCCUGAUCGAAGCCCCGGUAAACGGCGGCCGUAACUAUAACGGUCCUAAGGUAGCGAAAUUCCUUGUCGGGUAAGUUCCGACCUGCACGAAUGGCGUAAUGAUGGCCAGGCUGUCUCCACCCGGGACUCAGUGAAAUUGAACUCGCUGUGAAGAUGCAGUGUACCCGCGGCAAGACGGAAAGACCCCGUGAACCUUUACUAUAGCUUGACACUGAACACUGGUCCUUGAUGUGCAGGAUAGGUGGGAGGCUUUGAAGUGUGGACGCCAGUCUGCAUGGAGCCAUCCUUGAAAUACCACCCUUUAAUGGCUGGUGUUCUAACGUGGGCCCGUGAACCGGGUUGCGGACAGUGUCUGGUGGGUAGUUUGACUGGGGCGGUCUCCUCCUAAAGAGUAACGGAGGAGCACGAAGGUUGGCUAAUCCUGGUCGGACAUCAGGAGGUUAGUGCAAUGGCAUAAGCCAGCUUGACUGCGAGCGUGACGGCGCGAGCAGGUGCGAAAGCAGGUCAUAGUGAUCCGGUGGUUCUGAAUGGAAGGGCCAUCGCUCAACGGAUAAAAGGUACUCCGGGGAUAACAGGCUGAUACCGCCCAAGAGUUCAUAUCGACGGCGGUGUUUGGCACCUCGAUGUCGGCUCAUCACAUCCUGGGGCUGAAGUAGGUCCCAAGGGUAUGGCUGUUCGCCAUUUAAAGUGGUACGCGAGCUGGGUUUAGAACGUCGUGAGACAGUUCGGUCCCUAUCUGCCGUGGGCGCUGGAAGAUUGAGGGGGGCUGCUCCUAGUACGAGAGGACCGGAGUGGACGCAUCACUGGUGUUCGGGUUGUCAUGCCAAUGGCACUGCCCGGUAGCUACAUGCGGAAGAGAUAAGUGCUGAAAGCAUCUAAGCACGAAACUUGCCCCGAGAUGAAUCUUCCCUGAGCCUUUAAGGCUCCUGAAGGAACGUUGAAGACGACGACGUUGAUAGGCCGGGUGUGUAAGCGCAGCGAUGCGUUGAGCUAACCGGUACUAAUGAACCGUGAGGCUUAACCUUACAACGCCGAA